This 315-nucleotide unclassified non-coding RNA is filed under the name Hevea brasiliensis (rubber tree). The record is from RNAcentral. Lineage: Eukaryota; Viridiplantae; Streptophyta; Magnoliopsida; Malpighiales; Euphorbiaceae.
CAAACUAGAUAUAUAAUUCAAUAUGAAAUAUUAAAUAAAAAAAAAGGGAGCAAAAAAUAGUGCCUUUAGACAGCUUGUUUAAAAAAAGUAUCAAAAUAAUGCAUCAUUGGAACUUCAACAAGUUGCUUUCCAAUCUCUGAGCAAAAUCCAUUUUAUCAAAACAAUUAUCACAUCAAGGCUUCCAUGCUUCCUUCACUAACUUAAUUAGAGGUUGUACAGCAUUCUAGCCAAGUAAAGUUCCUUAAAGAAUGAUUAUAUAAUUCAGCUACCUCUUCACCAAAAGAGCUACUGACUAAAAGGUUUCCCUUAAUGUUU